GGGAAUGUAGCUCAGUAGGUAGAGUGCUUGCCUGGCAUGCAGGGAGCACUAGGUUAUAUCCCUAGCGCCCU
This 71-nucleotide transfer RNA is filed under the name Cricetulus griseus (Chinese hamster). It matches the Rfam family "tRNA". Rfam says of the family: Transfer RNA (tRNA) molecules are approximately 80 nucleotides in length. Their secondary structure includes four short double-helical elements and three loops (D, anti-codon, and T loops). Further hydrogen bonds mediate the characteristic L-shaped molecular structure. tRNAs have two regions of fundamental functional importance: the anti-codon, which is responsible for specific mRNA codon recognition, and the 3' end, to which the tRNAs corresponding amino acid is attached (by aminoacyl-tRNA synthetases). tRNAs cope with the degeneracy of the genetic code in two manners: having more than one tRNA (with a specific anti-codon) for a particular amino acid; and 'wobble' base-pairing, i.e. permitting non-standard base-pairing at the 3rd anti-codon position. Lineage: Eukaryota; Metazoa; Chordata; Mammalia; Rodentia; Cricetidae. The record is from Rfam by way of RNAcentral.